This 93-nucleotide microRNA precursor is filed under the name Nannospalax galili (Upper Galilee mountains blind mole rat). RNAcentral's name for it is "microRNA 328 (ENSNGAG00000002440.1)". The stretch from base 14 to 87 matches the Rfam family "mir-328 microRNA precursor family". The record is from RNAcentral. Lineage: Eukaryota; Metazoa; Chordata; Mammalia; Rodentia; Spalacidae.
CUGUCUCGGAACCUGGAGCAGGGGGGCAGGAGGGGCUCAGGGAGAAAUGUUUGUAGCCCCUGGCCCUCUCUGCCCUUCCGUCCCUUGUCCCCA